AUGAUACAUAUUAAACAUGCCUUCUAUUCACUGUGCCAUCUUACAUCCGUAGGUGAUCAGAGGGGAAAAGAAGAGCUAGAGCAACUCCCACACUCAUGAGCGUCCUCAUACUGUUCUGGG
This 120-nucleotide small nuclear RNA is filed under the name Saccharomyces cerevisiae (brewer's yeast). RNAcentral's name for it is "SNR8". It matches the Rfam family "Small nucleolar RNA snR8", at positions 1 to 121 of the family's 184-position model. The record is from RNAcentral. Lineage: Eukaryota; Fungi; Ascomycota; Saccharomycetes; Saccharomycetales; Saccharomycetaceae.